UACGGAGGGUGCAAGCGUUGCUCGGAAUUACUGGGCGUAAAGCGGGCGCAGGCGGCCACGCAAGUCGGUUGUGAAAGCCCGGGGCUCAACCCCGGAAUUGCUGCCGAAACUGCAUGGCUUGAGUACGAGAGAGGGAAGCGGAAUUCCUGGUGUAGAGGUGAAAUUCGUAGAUAUCAGGAGGAACAUCAGCGGCGAAGGCGGCUUCCUGGCUCGAUACUGACGCUCAUGCCCGAAAGCGUGGGGAGCAAACAGG
This 253-nucleotide unclassified non-coding RNA is filed under the name uncultured Pseudobdellovibrionaceae bacterium. Its description in RNAcentral is "uncultured Bdellovibrionaceae bacterium contains 16S-23S intergenic spacer region". It matches the Rfam family "Bacterial small subunit ribosomal RNA", at positions 524 to 776 of the family's 1533-position model. Lineage: Bacteria; Pseudomonadati; Bdellovibrionota; Bdellovibrionia; Bdellovibrionales; Pseudobdellovibrionaceae. The record is from RNAcentral.